RNAcentral lists this ribosomal RNA (608 nucleotides) under Hoplandria lateralis. Its description in RNAcentral is "partial 16S ribosomal RNA". It matches the Rfam family "Bacterial large subunit ribosomal RNA", at positions 1825 to 2712 of the family's 2925-position model. Lineage: Eukaryota; Metazoa; Arthropoda; Insecta; Coleoptera; Staphylinidae. The record is from RNAcentral.
GUCUUAUAGAAUAUAAUUUUAAGUUUAAUCUGCCCGAUGAGUAAUUGAAUGGCCGCAGUAUUUUGACUGUGCAAAGGUAGCAUAAUCAAUUGUUUCUUAAUUAGGAACUGGAAUGAAGGAUUGGACGAGAAAAUAACUGUCUUUUUUUAAAUUUAGUAUAAAUUUAUUUUUAAGUAAAAAAGCUUAAGUGAUUUUAAAAGACGAGAAGACCCUAUAGAGUUUUAUAUUUUAUAAAUAUUAGAAAUUUAGAAUUAUUAUUAUAUUAUUAAAAAAAAUAUUUUGUUGGGGUGAUAAAAAAAAUUAAUAAACUUUUUUUUAUAAAAAAACAUUUAUAAAUGAAUAAUUGAUCCAUUAUUUAUGAUUAGAAGAUUAAAUUACCUUAGGGAUAACAGCGUAAUUUUUUUGGAGAGUUCAAAUCGAUAAAAAAGAUUGCGACCUCGAUGUUGGAUUAAAAUAAAGUAUUGGUGUAGAAGCUGAUAUAGUUAAGUCUGUUCGACUUUUGAAAUUUUACAUGAUCUGAGUUUAAACCGGUGUAAGCCAGGUUGGUUUCUAUCUUUAAUUAAUUUUAAUAUUUUAGUACGAAAGGACCAAGUAUUAUUAAUAAUUAA